Molecule: ribosomal RNA, 938 nt
Filed under: Colletotrichum sp. ST-2018a
Lineage: Eukaryota; Fungi; Ascomycota; Sordariomycetes; Glomerellales; Glomerellaceae
Description: SSU rRNA
Rfam family: Eukaryotic small subunit ribosomal RNA
Source: RNAcentral
AUUAUACAGCGAAACUGCGAAAGGCUCAUUAUAUAAGUUAUCGUUUAUUUGAUAGUACCUUACUACUUGGAUAACCGUGGUAAUUCUAGAGCUAAUACAUGCUAAAAAUCCCGACUUACGAAGGGAUGUAUUUAUUAGAUUAAAAACCAAUGCCCUUCGGGGCUCACUGGUGAUUCAUAAUAACUUCUCGAAUCGCAUGGCCUUGCGCCGGCGAUGGUUCAUUCAAAUUUCUUCCCUAUCAACUUUCGAUGCUAGAGUAGUGUUCUAGCAUGGUUACAACGGGUAACGGAGGGUUAGGGCUCGACCCCGGAGAAGGAGCCUGAGAAACGGCUACUACAUCCAAGGAAGGCAGCAGGCGCGCAAAUUACCCAAUCCCGACACGGGGAGGUAGUGACGAUAAAUACUGAUACAGGGCUCUUUUGGGUCUUGUAAUUGGAAUGAGUACAAUUUAAAUCCCUUAACGAGGAACAAUUGGAGGGCAAGUCUGGUGCCAGCAGCCGCGGUAAUUCCAGCUCCAAUAGCGUAUAUUAAAGUUGUUGUGGUUAAAAAGCUCGUAGUAGAACCUUGGGCCUGGCUGGCCGGUCCGCCUCACCGCGUGCACUGGUCCGGCCGGGCCUUUCCCCCUGUGGAACCUCAUGCCCUUCACUGGGUGUGUGGGAAAACAGGACUUUUACUUUGAAAAAAUUAGAGUGCUCCAGGCAGGCCUAUGCUCGAAUACAUUAGCAUGGAAUAAUAGAAUAGGACGUGUGGUUCUAUUUUGUUGGUUUCUAGGACCGCCGUAAUGAUUAAUAGGGACAGUCGGGGGCAUCAGUAUUCAAUUGUCAGAGGUGAAAUUCUUGGAUUUAUUGAAGACUAACUACUGCGAAAGCAUUUGCCAAGGAUGUUUUCAUUUAUCAGGAACGAAAGUUAGGGGAUCGAAGACGAUCAGAUACCGUCGU